GAUGAACGCUGGCGGCGUGCCUAAUACAUGCAAGUCGAGCGAACGGACGAGAAGCUUGCUUUUCUGAUGUUAGCGGCGGACGGGUGAGUAACACGUGGAUAACCUACCUAUAAGACUGGGAUAACUUCGGGAAACCGGAGCUAAUACCGGAUAAUAUUUUGAACCGCAUGGUUCAAAAGUGAAAGACGGUCUUGCUGUCACUUAUAGAUGGAUCCGCGCUGCAUUAGCUAGUUGGUAAGGUAACGGCUUACCAAGGCAACGAUGCAUAGCCGACCUGAGAGGGUGAUCGGCCACACUGGAACUGAGACACGGUCCAGACUCCUACGGGAGGCAGCAGUGGGGAAUAUUGCGCAAUGGGCGAAAGCCUGACGGAGCAACGCCGCGUGAGUGAUGAAGGUCUUCGGAUCGUAAAACUCUGUUAUUAGGGAAGAACAUAUGUGUAAGUAACUGUGCACAUCUUGACGGUACCUAAUCAGAAAGCCACGGCUAACUACGUG
Molecule: ribosomal RNA, 497 nt
Filed under: uncultured bacterium
Lineage: Bacteria
Description: partial 16S ribosomal RNA
Rfam family: Bacterial small subunit ribosomal RNA
Source: RNAcentral